UUCGCCCUUAGAGUUUGCUUCUGGCUCAGGACGAACGCUGGCGGCGUGCCUAACACAUGCAAGUCGAGCGGAGAUAAGGGAGCUUGCUCCCGAAUCUUAGCGGCGGACGGGUGAGUAACGCGUGAGCAACCUGCCUUGAACUGGGGGAUAACGCAUCGAAAGAUGUGCUAAUACCGCGUAAGACCACAGCACCGCAUGGUGCAGGGGUCAAAGGAGCAAUCCGGUUUAAGAUGGGCUCGCGUCCGAUUAGCUAGUUGGUGAGAUAACAGCCCACCAAGGCGACGAUCGGUAGCCGACCUGAGAGGGUGAUCGGCCACAUUGGAACUGAGACACGGCCCAGACUCCUACGGGAGGCAGCAGUGGGGAAUAUUGGGCAAUGGGGGAAACCCUGACCCAGCAACGCCGCGUGAAGGAAGAAGGCUUUCGGGUUGUAAACUUCUUUUACCAGGGACGAAGACGUGACGGUACCUGGAGAAAAAGCAACGGCUAACUACGUGCCAGCAGCCGCGGUAAUACGUAGGUUGCAAGCGUUGUCCGGAAUUACUGGGUGUAAAGGGCGUGUAGGCGGAGAUGCAAGUCGGGAGUGAAAUCUAUGGGCUCAACCCAUAAACUGCUCUCGAAACUGUAUCCCUUGAGUAUCGGAGAGGCAAGCGGAAUUCCUAGUGUAGCGGUGAAAUGCGUAGAUAUUAGGAGGAACACCAGUGGCGAAGGCGGCUUGCUGGACGACAACUGACGCUGAGGCGCGAAAGCGUGGGGAGCAAACAGGAUUAGAUACCCUGGUAGUCCACGCUGUAAACGAUGAAUACUAGGUGUGGGAGGACUGACCCCUUCCGUGCCGCAGUUAACACAAUAAGUAUUCCACCUGGGGAGUACGACCGCAAGGUUGAAACUCGAAGGAAUUGACGGGGGCCCGCACAAGCAGUGGAUUAUGUGGUUUAAUUCGACGCAACGCGAAGAACCUUACCAGGAUUUGACAUCCAACUAACGAAGUAGAGAUACAUUAGGUGCCCUUCGGGGAAAGUUGAGACAGGUGGUGCAUGGUUGUCGUCAGCUCGUGUCGUGAGAUGUUGGGUUAAGUCCCGCAACGAGCGCAACCCCUAUCUUUAGUAGCCAGCACAUUGGGUGGGCACUCUAGAGAGACUGCCAGGGAUAACCUGGAGGAAGGUGGGGAUGACGUCAAAUCAUCAUGCUCCUUAUGUCUUGGGCUACACGCGUGAUACAAUGGCCACUACAAAGAGACGCAAGAUCGUAAGAUGGAGCAAAUCCCAAAAAAGUGGUCCUAGUUCAGAUUGUGGGCUGAAACCCGCCCACAUGAAGCUGAAUUUGCUAGUAAUCCCGGAUCAGCAUGCCGGGGUGAAUUCAAUCCCGGGUCUUGCACACACCGCCCGUCA
RNAcentral lists this ribosomal RNA (1391 nucleotides) under uncultured bacterium. Its description in RNAcentral is "16S ribosomal RNA". It matches the Rfam family "Bacterial small subunit ribosomal RNA". The record is from RNAcentral.